Molecule: ribosomal RNA, 606 nt
Filed under: Triticum aestivum (bread wheat)
Lineage: Eukaryota; Viridiplantae; Streptophyta; Magnoliopsida; Poales; Poaceae
Description: partial small subunit ribosomal RNA
Source: RNAcentral
AUGGCGACCAUCACCUGCCACCUCCCCCCUCUCCUCCCUGGCCCAGCCUCCGGGCACCAUCGCCACCUCAAGCCCUCCCCGCCCCCCUUCAAUCGGCACCUCCGCGCCCCGCCUCCGACCCGUCUCCUCCGCGCCGCCCGCCGCCGCCAUCCCGACGCCGUCGUCGUCGUCCCAGACGCGCGCCCCUGGGUCGGCGACCUGUCAGGAGCCGCCUCCUACUGGGACGGGAGGGAGGAAGAUGGGGACGAGGAGGAGGACGCGGACGACGACGACCGCAGCCUGGACCUCCUGGCCCGGUUCCUGCACUCGGUGUUCAGGAAGGCCUCCCGCCGCGCGCGCCGCGCCGCCAGGUCCGUGCUGCCGCCCUCCGUCCCCGCUGAGCUGGUGAAGUUCUCGGUCAAUGGCGUGCUGGUUCUCACCUUCUUGUGGAUCCUCAAGGGGCUUCUUGAGGUGGUCUGCACAUUUGGAAGCAUGGUGUUUAUAAGCAUCCUUCUUGUUCGAGGGAUAUGGUCUGGAGUAACUUACAUCAGAGAAAACCGAUACAGCUAUAUUCAACAGCUCAAGGAUGACGACAACCGGUGGAGCAGAGUACAGCCUGCUGGUUGA